This 253-nucleotide ribosomal RNA is filed under the name uncultured bacterium. Its description in RNAcentral is "partial 16S ribosomal RNA". It matches the Rfam family "Bacterial small subunit ribosomal RNA", at positions 524 to 776 of the family's 1533-position model. The record is from RNAcentral.
UACGUAGGGUGCAAGCGUUAAUCGGAAUUACUGGGCGUAAAGCGUGCGCAGGCGGUUGUGUAAGACAGAUGUGAAAUCCCCGGGCUCAACCUGGGAACUGCAGUUGUGACUGCAAAGCUGGAGUGCGGCAGAGGGGGAUGGAAUUCCGCGUGUAGCAGUGAAAUGCGUAGAUAUGCGGAGGAACACCGAUGGCGAAGGCAAGCCCCUGGGCCUGCACUGACGCUCAUGCACGAAAGCGUGGGGAGCAAACAGG